AACACAUGCAAGUCGAACGGCAGCACAGAGGAGCUUGCUCCUUGGGUGGCGAGUGGCGGACGGGUGAGGAAUACGUCGGAAUCUGCCUAUUUGUGGGGGAUAACGUAGGGAAACUUACGCUAAUACCGCAUACGACCUACGGGUGAAAGUGGGGGACCCCAAGGCCUCACGCAGAUAGAUGAGCCGACGUCGGAUUAGCUAGUUGGCGGGGUAAAGGCCCACCAAGGCGACGAUCCGUAGCUGGUCUGAGAGGAUGAUCAGCCACACUGGAACUGAGACACGGUCCAGACUCCUACGGGAGGCAGCAGUGGGGAAUAUUGGACAAUGGGCGCAAGCCUGAUCCAGCCAUGCCGCGUGUGUGAAAAAGGCCUUCGGGUUGUAAAGCACUUUUGUCCGGAAAGAAAAGCUUAAGGUUAAUAACCCUGAAUCAUGACGGUACCGGAAGAAUAAGCACCGGCUAACUUCAUGCCANCAGCCGCGGUAAUACAAAGGGUGCAAGCGUUCUCGGAUUCUGGGCGU
RNAcentral lists this ribosomal RNA (519 nucleotides) under uncultured bacterium. RNAcentral's name for it is "bacterial SSU rRNA". It matches the Rfam family "Bacterial small subunit ribosomal RNA", at positions 50 to 561 of the family's 1533-position model. The record is from RNAcentral.